This is a long non-coding RNA of Marmota monax (woodchuck), 3409 nucleotides long. RefSeq lists it as uncharacterized. The transcript is spliced from 2 exons. The record is from RefSeq and is a predicted model, not a curated record. NCBI's taxonomy places the organism in Eukaryota, Metazoa, Chordata, Mammalia, Rodentia, Sciuridae.
AGCGGAGCCAGCAGGAGUCCGAGGCCGAGGCGCGCAGGGCGUGGCUCGGUGAAUGGAAGUGGUGGCUGAGAGAGGGACCGGGAAUGACCGGCCCGGGCCCGGGAGCGCACACAGUUGGAGUAGGUUAACGGGGCGAGAAGUCGUGGAAGGGAGAUGGUGGAGCCCCUAGUUCAACUCUGGAAAUGUCCCCACAGGGGAGGAGAAAACUUUUUGAGCGGGAACCGAUGUGAACAAUGCGCAAUCUGUGACUCAACCGGGACCUGAACGGGGAGAAGCAGCUAGCGGACGCCGCAGUAGGCAGGGAGGCGGCCCAGAGUCUGCUCAGGGGGGGCUUCCAACUGGGUGUAACUGGGUUUGCCACCCACGUGGAGACGGUCCCCUUCAGUGCUUACUGUGUGUAUCCCAACAUCAGGGGCUUCAGUUCCAGGAAGGGGCAUAUAGGUUUUUUUAAUUAAUUAAUAAGCUGCGGCUCACUUUAUGAUGGACAGACAGACAGCCUGGCGCCUGCGGCAGGCGAUGAAGUUUUAGACGGAGCGGCCAGGGGACCACCGCCAGGCGCCAUCUCUGCCCUGUGGACCUAAGGAGACCCCAGAGCCGUGCAAAGAGCAGCUUGCCAAGCAGAGGGGACUGUGGGGAGGCCCUGAAUGGGGACAGGUGAAUGCAUCCGAUGACAGACCGCCACGCGGGAGAACCAGGGAAGAGCCGCCUGCCAGCCGGCGCCAGGAUGGACUUCGGACAGACAAGCGCAGAGUCGGGCCCAGACCCCGCGCCCGGGCAGCGGACUCGAGAAAGCCCAGGAGGAGGCAGGGCCGCUGGGAGCGCAGGCCUGCAGAGCCCGGCAGGACCCCGCCGGGCGGAGGAGGCGGCUCGGGAAGGCCCCAGGCGCCCGGGGCGCACGUUGGGUGCGACCACAGCCGGGAAUCCCCGGCGGGCGCCCCACUCAUCCCCGCCCCCCGGGUGCGGCUGUCCCCGAGGCAGCGCAGGCCUGCGGUGUAGUCCCGGAACUGGGGAGGUGUGAUGCAAAGUCGCACUGACCCAAAGAGAUCUUGGUCAGCGAGGAGGAAGGGAAGGACGUCGCCAAGUACCAAGGGUGACUCAGGUUUUGGAUUAUGAUUGGAAUCCAAUACGAUUCCAUUUAGAGGAAGGGGAGACACUACAAAACAAUGAAACUCUGUACCCAAGCACGUCAGGGGCUGGAAUCAGAGAAGAGAAAACAGAAAUGAGGCCGCUCGGGACGGAAACGCCAGUGCUGGUGGGGCACUGACGGCGGGAGGCCCCUCGCACCCGCCCACGUUCAGCAGGAACCUAGCUGCCCGGAAGGCGACUGCCACCUGGCUGAGCUGGCGCUUGCUGCCCCCUACCCCCCACCUGCCUCCCAUCUGCCUCUCGGCCCCUUCCCAACAAGCAUCCCCUCUGCCCCCACCAGCACUUCUGCCUUCGUGGGAGCCCCCACCCCAAGUCAAGCCUAACCCAAAGGUCCCAGCUGAAUCCCGCCCCCCGCUAACUUGGUGCCUGGUCUCUGAGACGGGAAGUUAAGGCAUGUUGCUCCUCUUCACAGCCUCUGAGUAGAUGCACAAGGUGCUGAGACCAGGGAAGAAUGAAAGGAAGGAAAAUCUGAGUCUAGGACAAAGCGGAAGUCCUGAUGGAAAUGAGAAGCAGGGGGCUGAGCUGGGGUGCUCAACGACAGUGGAAAGGCCAAGGCUACAGGCAAAGACUUGAAAGUCAGGAAAAUGCAGGGAGCACUGAGCAUGAAGAAUGUCCUUGGGGCUAACCCCCGGGAGCAGGCAACUUCUCAGCCCUCCUCAACACCCGUGUGGCAGCUGUGUGAGCCCCUGUCCCCGGCCCAUGAGAGGACAAGUGACCCAAGCUCGCUCAGAAGCCCAGAUGUCAUCUUGGAGAGACCUGUUGCAACCAUGUCCCAGCCUGGAGUCCUCUGGUCACCCUGAGAGCCCCGUGGGAGCUGGUACACUAUUCCACCACCUCUGCACUCUGCAGCCAGCUGGCGUUCCGACUGCUAAGAGGCAACACCUUAUAAAACAUAAACACAAGGAGAAAAAAAAAUGCACUUGGGUGACGUCCAAUAGUGACGUGGAGAAAGAGCCCAUCCUGGAAAAGCUGCCUCCGCAGGCAUCUGAUACUAACCUUGAUCUGUCACACACAUCAUGGAGGGUAGCGCGGAGGGCAUGUGUCAGCUUUAAUUAAUAGCUAACCAUCCCAUAGUGGAGGCGGGUUCUCUCCUUCACUGGAAUUUUCCAUUAGACUUGCUAAUGAUAUUUUAUGUCAAGUAAGUUAUAAAUUGAGCUGAAAAGUCAAGGUUGUGAGAGCGUAAGAAAGGAAGGCCAGACGGAAGGCGGAAGGCACUCGGCUUAACACAAUAUUAGCAUCCCCUGUGUAAUCAAUGACCAAGAUGUUCCUUAAACAUCUCUGAAGCUCAGGAUUCAAGGAAAGAUGUGCUCUUCGUCCUUGCUGAGCUGUGACAUCUGAGGAGAACAAACCCAACCACCAAGAGGCCGCACCCUCAAAUUCAGUUCCAAUGAAACUUUCCACGGCCCUAAAUUUAAACAGCUGGAUUAUCAUUCACAAACUGUCUUCUCAGCCUUUUGGAAAUGAGAGACUCCUGAUGAGAGAUGUGCAUUUCAUUUUUUGAACAGGACACAGUGUUCUGGACCUCGUUUAUGCUCCAUGUAAAUAGUCUUUUUUAAGAAGUGUGUGUUUAUCAUAUGCUACUGACACAGGUCACAGUAAACUCAUUUCCAUCAUGGGAGGUUUCCAGUGUGCAGAGGAGGUUCAGAAGAAUACAAGCCUUAUAACAAAACAACUCUGCUUCCAAGUUUUAAAUUCAAGUCAUGAAAAAUGUGGUGUGAAAGCAUUGCUAAAUUCCAUUUUAAACAUCUGAAGCUCAUAGGACAAACUUGGUCAAGGGAAGAGGAAGUGUACAAAAUAAGUGAGCCAAGAGUAGUGGCCUGUCAUCCAAGCCACUCAGGAGGCUGAGGCAAAAGGGUCACAAGUUCGGGGUUAGUCUCAGCAACUUAGUGAAACCCUGUAUCAAAAUAAAAUCUAAAAAGGUCAGGGGCUGUAGAUCAGUGGUAGAAUGCUCCAGGGUUCAAUCCCCAGUAGUGCAAUAAAUAAAACCAAGUGUGUCAGAUAUCAGGACUUAAGUCAGCAGCGUUUUUGCAGAGGAAACCACGCACCUGGAUGAUUUCCUAAAUUCUGUCUCAAUCAGGGAAAGCCAUGUGGAACCUGAAAACCUUGGAUUUAGGACAACUGCAGUAUUUGGGGAGAAGGAGACAUCUUUGCAUCCCGAACCCUACUCUCAGCAUCAAGGUCUUCAGAACCCUCAGGCUGAAGGUCCCAACCUGGAGAUACCAAGCACAGGGAUAUAUGCUGACAUACAAAGAUACCCAGAACA